GACGAACGCUGGCGGCGUGCCUAAUACAUGCAAGUCGAGCGAACAUUUGAGAGCUUGCUCUCAGGAUGUUAGCGGCGGACGGGUGAGUAACACGUGGGCAACCUGCCUAUAAGACUGGGAUAACUUCGGGAAACCGGAGCUAAUACCGGAUAAUUCAUAUCUACUCAUGUAGAUAUGCUGAAAGACGGUUUACGCUGUCACUUAUAGAUGGGCCCGCGGCGCAUUAGCUAGUUGGUGAGGUAACGGCUCACCAAGGCCACGAUGCGUAGCCGACCUGAGAGGGUGAUCGGCC
RNAcentral lists this ribosomal RNA (292 nucleotides) under uncultured bacterium. RNAcentral describes it as "partial 16S ribosomal RNA". It matches the Rfam family "Bacterial small subunit ribosomal RNA", at positions 28 to 309 of the family's 1533-position model. The record is from RNAcentral.